RNAcentral lists this ribosomal RNA (492 nucleotides) under uncultured bacterium. RNAcentral's name for it is "bacterial SSU rRNA". It matches the Rfam family "Bacterial small subunit ribosomal RNA", at positions 29 to 518 of the family's 1533-position model. The record is from RNAcentral.
AUGAACGCUAGCGACAGGCCUAACACAUGCAAGUCGAGGGGCAGCACAAGGAGCAAUCUGAGGUGCGACGCGCACGGGUGAGUAACACGUAUGCAACCUGCCUGUAAGCGGGGAAUAACCCGUUGAAAGACGGACUAAUACCGCAUAAUACUAAAUUACUGCAUGGUAAUUUAUUUAAACAUUUAUGGCUUACAGAUGGGCAUGCGCAUGAUUAGCUAGUUGGAGAGGUAACGGCUCCCCAAGGCAACGAUCAUUAGGGGUUCUGAGAGGAAGGUCCCCCACACUGGUACUGAGACACGGACCAGACUCCUACGGGAGGCAGCAGUGAGGAAUAUUGGUCAAUGGACGAGAGUCUGAACCAGCCAAGUCGCGUGCAGGAAGAAUGUCCCUAUGGAUUGUAAACUGCUUUUGCAGGGGAAUAAAGUGCAUCACGUGUGAUGUUUUGUAUGUACUCUGCGAAUAAGGAUCGGCUAACUCCGUGCCAGCCGCCGC